Long non-coding RNA from Triticum dicoccoides, 1776 nucleotides. RefSeq lists it as uncharacterized. NCBI's taxonomy places the organism in Eukaryota, Viridiplantae, Streptophyta, Magnoliopsida, Poales, Poaceae. The transcript has 2 exons. The record is from RefSeq and is a predicted model, not a curated record.
CCCACUGUCGGCGGCGCCUCACCAAGUCACCAUCACCACCACCCCCGCGCCACAGCACCACCCCACCCCCGGCGCCCCACAACUACCCCACCCCUCUUUCUCCUGGCCGGCGCCGCCGUGCAUCCUCUUCCUCCUGGUUGGGGCCGUCGCCCCUCCUCUUCCUCACGACCGAGGCCGCUGUGGUCCCUCUUCCUCCCGGAAUCGCCAUCGCCCCCUGGUUCCCCUUCUUCCACCUUUCUUCGCCGCCCACGGGCGGCCCACCGCGCCUCUCCUAGUCGCCGCAUCCCUCACCAAUUCCUGGUCGGCAUCGCCCAGAUCCGGUGGAGCACGCACCCGGUCAGCCACCGGGCUUUGGUGGCCAGGGGUGACCGCUGUCGGAGGAGGAGGUUGGGGGAGGUGGUGAGCCUGUCGCGGCGCCAGGGUCGCAGGUUUUGAAGAUGGCCGGAGAUCGCCGUCCGCCUCAGCCCCUCGUGCAGGUCUCUCCUUCCCCUCGUGCAGGUCUCUCCUUCCCAUCGUGCAGGUCGCGGCCGCAACCCAUGCCUCUGGCGCUGGUCGGGGUAGCGCUCCAACUCGCUGCCGCCUGGAUCCGGCGAGGCCCGAGGCAUCCGCAGCCACCUGGACUCCCGGCGACGGGUCCGAUCCGGAAACCGCCCUGGCGUGCUCCCCGGCAACGGAUCCGGGUCGGCAACCACCCCCCUGCGUGGCCACGACCAACCUCCGCCGCAGGAUCCGUCCGUCGACAGGACCCCCAACGCAAGCCACUCCCCUGACGCCCCGAUCCAAGCGCCGCCGAGCCUCCCAGGUGACAUCUGGCCGCAUCCUCCCCCACGAGCCUCCUCCUAAUCCCGCGCUGUUCACCCAGAUGGAGCUGCCUCGAUGCGUCGAGCAUGCCUCUCCCCCUCGCUCAACCUCAACGAGGGGCUCCUCCCAAGGCCCCAGUGCCCCGGUGCAACCUAUCUAGGCCAUUACGCCACCACCGUGGCCUACACCAGCCAUGGCCACUGCGACUUGCUGCCUCUGCCGCCGCAUCCCGCACUGGAUCCGCGAGAACAAAGGUCUUCACCGCCCCGACCGCAUCGAAUCAGCAAACUGCACACCCGAAUCCGCUCUGGAUUGAUUGCGCGCGUGCUCCCACGUUCCUCUGCUCACCUUGCAGUUCGCGGUACGUUCCUGUGUAGUUUGCCCGUCGCCCUGGUCCUCUCAGCUCCUGCACUGCCUGCUGUCGAUCGUGGCGUCUCCCCUCCUGCUCCGCUGUGCAGUUUUCCGCGUGGGGCAUUGCAGUGCUUCGUCAGACGUUUUUUGUGUGGCUCGCACUGCAGUUCAUUCUUUGUUUUUCCUAAUGCAAAUCCAUGCCGAAGGGUUCGCGGAUCACUUCAGUAAAAAAACGUUCUCGGAGUUCAGCGGAUGACAUGUUGCCUUGCUGGUCAUUAUGUGAGAAGAAAAACAAAACAACGAAUGUGGUCCACGUCCUCAAAUUGUAAUUUGGUUGGCUGGUGGUGCUGACAUUUUUAUCUGACUAGUGCUAAUUUUCUGUGUAUGUAUGUGUGUGGCUGUGUAAAACAACAGAUGGAUGUAUUGUGUCCAUGAGCAUCGUCAGCGGCCAUAGACAGUGGGGCAAAAACAUAAAGUGUGCGUGCAGCUUGGUUAGCUCGGCCAUGGAGUACUUUAUUUUUGUUAUGUGUGGUUCACUUGUUUGCUAAAAAAUACAAAAGAAUAUUGGUGGGAGCUAAUAUUCUUUGGAUGCAAUGUAAUUUUAGAUGCAGUCCGGUUGCCUCA